This 1472-nucleotide ribosomal RNA is filed under the name uncultured Bordetella sp. RNAcentral's name for it is "partial 16S-23S ribosomal RNA intergenic spacer". It matches the Rfam family "Bacterial small subunit ribosomal RNA". The record is from RNAcentral. Lineage: Bacteria; Pseudomonadati; Pseudomonadota; Betaproteobacteria; Burkholderiales; Alcaligenaceae.
GGUUCGAUUACUGGCUCAGAUUGAACGCCAACUGGAUACUACACAUACAAAUCGAGCGACGGCACCGGACUUCCGGUCUGGUGGCGAGUGGCGAACAAUUGAAGUAAUGUGGAACGUGCCCAGUAGCGGGGGAUAACACGCGAAAGCGUAGCUAAUACGCCCGCCCUACAGGGGAAAGCAGGGGGAUGCCAGACCUUUUUAUUGGAGCGGCCGAUAUCGGAUUAGCUAGUUGGUGGGGUAACGGCUCGCAAGGCGACGAUCCAUCCAGCUGGUUUGAAAGGACGACCAGCCACACUGGGACUGAGACACAGCCCAGACUCCUACGGGAGGCAGCAGUGGGGAAUUUUGGACAAUGGGGAAACCCUGAUCCAGCCAUCCCGCGUGCGCGAUAGAAGGCCUUCGGGUUUGUAAAGCACUUUUGGCAGGAAAGAAACGUCGUGGGUCAAUGCGCCAGAGCGGCAUUACCUGCAGAAUGGCACCGGCUAACUUCCACGUGCAGCAGCCGCUGAUAAGCCGUGGGGUGCAAGCGUUAAUCGCGGAAUUACUGGGCGUGAAAGCAUUGCGCAGGCGGUUCCGGAAAGAAAGAUGUGAAAUCCAGGCUUAACUUUGGAACUGCAUUUUUAACUACCGGGCUAGAGUGUGUCAGAGGAGGUGGAAUUCCGCGUAUGACGGUAAAGAUGCGUAGAUAUGCGGAGGAACACCGAUGGCGAAACAGCCUCCUGGGAUAACACUGACGCUCAUGCACGAAAGCGUGGGGAGCAAACAGGAUUAGAUGCCCUGGUAGUCCGCCCCUAACGACGAUGUCAACUAGCUGUUGGGGCCUUCGGGCGUAGUGGCUGGCUAACGCGUGAAGUUGACCGCCUGGGGAGUGCGGUCGCAAGAUUAAAACUCAAGGAAUUGACGGGGACCCGCACAAGCGGUGGAUGAUGUGGUUAAUUCGAUGCAACGCGAAAAACCUUACCUACCCUUGACAUGUCUGGAAUGCCGAAGAGAUUUGGCAGUGCUCGCAAAGAACCGGAACACAGGUGCUGCAUGGCUGUCGUCAGCUCAUGUCGUGAGAUGUUGGGUUAAGUCCCGCAACGAGCGCAACCCUUGUCAUUAGUUGCACGAAAGGGCACUCUAAUGAGACUGCCGGUAAUAAACCGGAGGAAGGUGGGGAUGACGUCAAGUCCUCAUGGCCCUUAUGGGUAGGGCUUCACACGUCAUACAAUGGUCGAGACAGAGGAUCGCCAACCCGCGAGGAGCCAAUCCCAGAAACCCGAUCGUAGUCCGGAUCGCAGUCUGCAACUCGACUGCGUGAAGUCGGAAUCGCUAGUAAUCGCGGAUCAGCAUGUCGCGGUGAAUACGUUCUGGUCUUGUACACCGCCCAUCACCAUGGGAGUGGGUUUUACCAGAAGUAAUUCAGCCCUAACCGCAAGAGAAGGCGUUACCACGGUAGGAUUCAUGGCCAGGGUGAAGUCGUAACAAGGUAA